CAGUCGCCGCGGUAAUACGUAGGUGGCAAGCGUUGUCCGGAAUUAUUGGGCGUAAAGGGCUCGCAGGCGGUUUCUUUAGUCUGAUGUGAAAGCCCCCGGCUCAACCGGGGAGGGUCAUUGGAAACUGGGAAACUUGAGUGCAGAAGAGGAGAGUGGAAUUCCACGUGUAGCGGUGAAAUGCGUAGAGAUGUGGAGGAACACCAGUGGCGAAGGCGACUCUCUGGUCUGUAACUGACGCUGAGGAGCGAAAGCGUGGGGAGCGAACAGGAUUAGAUACCCCGGUAGUCCCUGUCUCUUAUAC
This 301-nucleotide ribosomal RNA is filed under the name uncultured bacterium. RNAcentral's name for it is "partial 16S ribosomal RNA". It matches the Rfam family "Bacterial small subunit ribosomal RNA", at positions 509 to 807 of the family's 1533-position model. The record is from RNAcentral.